UUAAAGUACCAGGAUGGCUAUUCUGUAAGCCUUAUCAUCUCUUCAGGCUAAUUUAAUUUACAACUUCAGUAAAUUAUGGUUUAUUUAAAAAAAAAAAAAAUACUAUGGAUUUUGUGUAUAAAGUCUCUAGUACUUCUUUUAUAUGCAUGUAUAUCAUGAUACUUAGUGUUGUGUUCAUAGUUUUUCAUCAAAGUUUGUCCCAGAACUGAACCAAAUUUAAAUGUUUCGG
RNAcentral lists this unclassified non-coding RNA (229 nucleotides) under Hevea brasiliensis (rubber tree). The record is from RNAcentral. Lineage: Eukaryota; Viridiplantae; Streptophyta; Magnoliopsida; Malpighiales; Euphorbiaceae.